UCGCGGCUUAUCACCGGCAGUCCCCUUAGAGUGCCCAACUGAAUGAUGGCAACUAAGGGCGAGGGUUGCGCUCGUUGCGGGACUUAACCCAACAUCUCACGACACGAGCUGACGACAGCCAUGCAGCACCUGUACAAGUGUCCCGAAGGAGGGCCCCUGUUUCCAGGGGCUUUCACAUGUAUGUCAAGCCUAGGUAAGGUUCUUCGCGUUGCUUCGAAUUAAACCACAUGCUCCGCCGCUUGUGCGGGGACCCGUCAAUUCCUUUGAGUUUCAGCCUUGCGGCCGUACUCCCCAGGCGGGGCACUUCAUGCGUUAGCGCCGGCACUCAGAGGGUCGCUCCCCCAAGCACCUAGUGCCCAUCGUUUACGGCGUGGACUAC
This 379-nucleotide unclassified non-coding RNA is filed under the name uncultured bacterium. Its description in RNAcentral is "contains 16S-23S intergenic spacer region". The record is from RNAcentral.